This 390-nucleotide ribosomal RNA is filed under the name uncultured bacterium. RNAcentral's name for it is "bacterial SSU rRNA". It matches the Rfam family "Bacterial small subunit ribosomal RNA", at positions 30 to 420 of the family's 1533-position model. The record is from RNAcentral.
AUUGAACGCUGGCGGCAUGCCUUACACAUGCAAGUCGAACGGCAGCACGGGAGCAAUCCUGGUGGCGAGUGGCGAACGGGUGAGUAAUGUAUCGGAACGUACCUUUCAGUGGGGGAUAACGUAGCGAAAGUUACGCUAAUACCGCAUAUUCUGUGAGCAGGAAAGCAGGGGAUCGCAAGACCUUGCGCUGAUUGAGCGGCCGAUAUCAGAUUAGCUAGUUGGUGAAGUAAAGGCUCACCAAGGCGACGAUCUGUAGCGGGUCUGAGAGGAUGAUCCGCCACACUGGAACUGAGACACGGUCCAGACUCCUACGGGAGGCAGCAGUGGGGAAUUUUGGACAAUGGGCGCAAGCCUGAUCCAGCCAUGCCGCGUGAGUGAAGAAGGCCUCGG